RNAcentral lists this transfer RNA (48 nucleotides) under Boehmantis microtympanum. RNAcentral's name for it is "partial tRNA-Ala". The record is from RNAcentral. Lineage: Eukaryota; Metazoa; Chordata; Amphibia; Anura; Mantellidae.
AGUCUGAGUUGCAUUCAGGAGAUGUAGAUUAAUCUUCUGCAAGCCCUA